Molecule: ribosomal RNA, 500 nt
Filed under: uncultured bacterium
Lineage: Bacteria
Description: bacterial SSU rRNA
Rfam family: Bacterial small subunit ribosomal RNA
Source: RNAcentral
AGAGUUUGAUCAUGGCUCAGAUUGAACGCUGGCGGCAGGCCUAACACAUGCAAGUCGAGCGGAUGAGAGGAGCUUGCUCCUCGAUUCAGCGGCGGACGGGUGAGUAAUGCCUAGGAAUCUGCCUAGUAGUGGGGGACAACGUUUCGAAAGGAACGCUAAUACCGCAUACGUCCUACGGGAGAAAGUGGGGGAUCUUCGGACCUCAUGCUAUUAGAUGAGCCUAGGUCGGAUUAGCUAGUUGGUAGGGUAAAGGCCUACCAAGGCGACGAUCCGUAACUGGUCUGAGAGGAUGAUCAGUCACACUGGAACUGAGACACGGUCCAGACUCCUACGGGAGGCAGCAGUGGGGAAUAUUGGACAAUGGGCGAAAGCCUGAUCCAGCCAUGCCGCGUGCGUGAAGAAGGCCCUCGGGUCGUAAAGCACUUUAAGUUGGGAGGAAGGGCUUACAGUGAAUACCUGUGAGUUUUGACGUUACCGACAGAAUAAGCACCGGCUAACUU